RNAcentral lists this ribosomal RNA (423 nucleotides) under uncultured Coriobacteriaceae bacterium. Its description in RNAcentral is "bacterial SSU rRNA". It matches the Rfam family "Bacterial small subunit ribosomal RNA", at positions 355 to 794 of the family's 1533-position model. Lineage: Bacteria; Bacillati; Actinomycetota; Coriobacteriia; Coriobacteriales; Coriobacteriaceae. The record is from RNAcentral.
UGGGGAAUUUUGCGCAAUGGGGGGCAACCCUGACGCAGCAACGCCGCGUGCGGGACGAAGGCCCUAGGGUCGUAAACCGCUUUCAGCAGGGAAGACAUUCGACGGUACCUGCAGAAGAAGCUCCGGCUAACUACGUGCCAGCAGCCGCGGUAACACGUAGGGGGCGAGCGUUAUCCGGAUUCAUUGGGCGUAAAGCGCGCGUAGGCGGCCGCCUAAGCGGAACCUCUAACCCCGGGGCUCAACCUCGGGCCGGGUUCCGAACUGGGCGGCUCGAGUGCGGUAGGGGCAGGCGGAAUUCCCGGUGUAGCGGUGGAAUGCGCAGAUAUCGGGAGGAACACCGAUGGCGAAGGCAGCCUGCUGGGCCGUCACUGACGCUGAGGCGCGAAAGCUAGGGGAGCGAACAGGAUUAGAUACCCUGGUAGU